RNAcentral lists this long non-coding RNA (3062 nucleotides) under Lytechinus variegatus (green sea urchin). RNAcentral's name for it is "uncharacterized LOC121415520". The record is from RNAcentral. Lineage: Eukaryota; Metazoa; Echinodermata; Echinoidea; Temnopleuroida; Toxopneustidae.
GUCAAAAUCGAUGAAAAAAUAUAAAAUGACUUUUUUCAGUAUUUCGACUCAAUAGUCAAAUAUCUUUUAUUUCACAAAUUUGUAGGUCUUAAAACCAUUUCGUUACGUCAUUUUUGACGUCAUGAGACGCUCUGGGUUCAUGAGAAUGGACGAAUGCCGUUUUUACGAACCGGCUUGAUACGCGCGCCGCAGCUAGCUCGCCGACUCGCAUCGUCUGUUUGCUGAAACUUCGUUUUUACGAUCUGGCCUGAGGCGUCAGCUUGUUCAAACUUGCAUCAGCUGGAAACUGUUGCUUUCAGGUAGACCAAUGGGUGUCUCAUCAAACCAUACCUUCGACAGUUAAUUCGCCGUUCAUUGUUUGGUGAUUUCCAGAGCUGUUGCCUGAUUUUAAGAGUGAACAGAUUCUUACCUCUUCAAACGCAUCUGUGGUGGACUGUUACUUUCUAUUCCAAUUGUUCAUUCUACUGGGGACGAGAUGCUCAGUGUCUGACUGUCUGGUGAAGGGCUACUACUGAAAUUCCAUAAAUUGAAGCAUUCCAGGAGUGAAAGAUGUUUCAGAGAUUUUUGGAGACUCCACUUUUGAAGAUGAAGGAAAAUCACGAUCUCUUCUGAUAAAGGUAUACAUUUCUUGUGGUUUGACUGAACUUGUUUUCCUUUGGGAUAUUGAUAGAGAGAUCUCAAGACAGUAAACAUCAGUCUUCACAAUAACUCUGAUAUUGUAUUUACUGUCAAGAGCAUGUGAUAACUACUCUUGUUGCUUCAGAGACCAAAGCUCAAAACACAAUAUAUCAGUUCUUAUUUGGACUGGUAUAUUGUAUUGUCUGUAAAGAGCACGUGAUAUGGUCUAAAAUGUUUUCAUUCCAGAGAAGGACAGUUAGGUAGACCAAAGCUCAAAACAGAAUACAUGUAUAACAGAUUAACUGUGAAUUUCUGUCAAGGGCAAUCGGUAAAUUCUUGUUGCAUUUAGAGACCAAGAAGGACACUUUAGGUAGACCAAAGCUCAAAACAGAAUACAUGUAUAACAGAUUGCCUGUGAGAUGGUAUUUUCUGUCAAGGGCAAUUGGUAAAUUCUUUUUGCAUUUAGACACCAAGAAGGACACUUUAGGUAGACCAAAGCUCAAAACAAUACAUGUACAACAGAUUAACUGUGAGAUUGUAUUUUCUGUCAAGACUGUAAGAAGUAUUUUUUUGUCCAGAGCAAGUGUACAAAUUUGUUAAAUUUAGCAAAUAUGAAAGACUCCGAUAUUUAAACAAUAGCUUAGAUCAGAAUACAUAUGUUGUUAGAAAGACUGUCAAAAUGCAGUUUGCUUGAAGUGUGGGUUUUUGUUUUAACCUAAUAUGAUGAAAUAGCUACUUGAUUUCCUUAACUGGUUUAUGUUCUCAUUUAGGAAUAAAUGUCACAAUUGCAUAUGUGUGUUGGGAAAAAAUUCAUGCAAAUAUUUUUAUCGCAUGUUUCUUUUCACAACAAAUUUUGAAACUCAGGUUAUGAAAUAAGUGUCAUUUUUACAAUUAAAGUUUUGCAGACACAACUUGCUACAGAUCUGAUUUUUCUUGUCAUAUUUUAUUUGCAAUCAAAUCCACUGCAGUACAAUUAACAGUCUUGAUGUUGCUUGAUUUUAUUUAUGGUGCUUUGAACAGAUCGUAAUAUAUUCAUGCUUGAAAUUCUAUAUAUUAUCCUCUGCCAUGUACUUGCCAAAUAGUAUAAUGACUACUCACGAUCCGUCUUUCAAGACUAGUUUGCAAUUCAUGAAAUAUUUUCAUUUGUUUUUAUUUGUUAAACUCUGAGAUUAUCUAUUAUUGUUUUGUAUUUAUUUAAAAAAGGUGUUGUUUGUUAGAAAUGAGAUUAUGACCCUUUGGGUUUCAUGUAUUAAUGGUCAGUUUAAAUUUAAAUUGGUGUACACGUCUGAAAGAUUCUAAACUGGUUAUUAAAAAGACAUUUUUUUCAAUAUGGAACCACUUUGGAACUUGAUUUGAAAACAAAAUAGAAUAAUGGGCAUGCAAAUCUUUCUGCUAAACUUAUAAUUUUGAACAGACACUGUAACAUUACAACACACACAAAAGAAAAUGGCAGUAAGAGGCAAGAGAUUUUUUAGAUUACACAGAACAUGGUGAGAACAUUCUAGGACACCAUCAUGCAUUUGUGUAUUAUGUACAAUUUACUGUACAUAGUGUGAUCAAUUUACUGUACAUAGUGAUGCAUGGAGUUUGAUUUAUUUUUAAAAAUGGUUAAUGUUUUAAAAUUAGUGUUUAAUGUUUAAAAAUGUUCAACUGGAAGCUUAGUAAUAAUAUGUGUUCAUAAAAUGGUUUAUCUUUCACCUUCUUAAGUGAGUUUACAAAAUAAAUGGAAAUGAUAGUUGCCAUUUUUGUAUUUGAAUAAUCAAACCUGCAGUCGAUUAUUAAGAUAUUCAUUAAACAGAAGAGAAUAAACUUUUAUCCAGGUAAGAGAAAUAAAAUCAUAAAUGUUUAUACUGUAUGCAAAUAAUAAAAGUGCAUUUUGAUAAUAAAGACUUAUAAAACAAAUUUAUUGAAAAACAGGUUUUCAAAUGCAGUACGCUGUCAUACGUUGUACAUUCAAAUAUGUACACAGAUAUAUCCUUGUGUCAAUGGCAAUGAGGGUGAUAAUGUGGGGUGUUUUUCUUUGUUAGGCAGGGGCAUUUUUAAUCUAAUUGAUAAGAUGUGUGUUUUAUGUUUAUAUGAAGUGCUUCUUUUAAUUUUCUUAUAAGAAUCUCAGUUAUAAAACUUAACCAAAUUGGUGUAAUUUCCUGAAGUACAUUUAAUGUAAAGUUGGUAUAUAGGAGACUGAUGAAUUAGUUAAUGUUAAAGAAAAUGAAGAUGUACUUUUAUAUGUCUCAUUGUGGAUGUUGACAUGGUUUUUGUAAAUGCAGGUAUAUUAUCUACAUGUAUAUGAAUUUUUAAUGAGUAUUUUCAUUGUGUAUCCUUUCUAUUAACAUUUGAUAUAAUUGAAACAAAUUUCUAUGAUCUUGUGUUGUCUAUGUUUGGAAUUUCAAUUAAAGGUGUAUUUUCAUCUUUUAUUCAAAGGUUUUAGAAUUUACUUGAAUUUU